Molecule: ribosomal RNA, 440 nt
Filed under: uncultured bacterium
Lineage: Bacteria
Description: partial 16S ribosomal RNA
Rfam family: Bacterial small subunit ribosomal RNA
Source: RNAcentral
CCUACGAGCUGCAGCAGUGGGGAAUAUUGCACAAUGGGGGAAACCCUGAUGCAGCGACGCCGCGUGCGUGAAGCAGUAUUUCGGUAUGUAAAGCUCUGUCAGCAGGGAAGAAAAUGACGGUAACUGACCAAGAAGCCCCGGCUAACUACGUGCCAGCAGCCGCGGUAAUACGUAGGGGGCAAGCGUUAUCCGGCUUUACUGGGUGUAAAGGGAGCGUAGACGGCAGGGCAAGGCUGGAGGGAAAGGCGGGGGCUCAACCCCCGGACUGCUCUGUAAACUGCCAGGCUGGAGUGCAGGAGAGGUAAGUGGAAUUCCUAGUGAAGCGGUGAAAUGCGUAGAUAUUAGGAGGAACACCAGUGGCGAAGGCGGCUUACUGGACUGUAACUGACGUUGAGGCUCGAAAGCGUGGGGAGCGAAAGGGAUUAGAUACCCGAGUAGUC